AACGAACGCUGGCGGCAUGCCUAACACAUGCAAGUCGAACGAGACCUUCGGGUCUAGUGGCGCACGGGUGCGUAACGCGUGGGAACCUGCCCUUAGGUUCGGAAUAACUCCCCGAAAGGGGUGCUAAUACCGGAUAAUGUCUUCGGACCAAAGAUUUAUCGCCUUUGGAUGGGCCCGCGUUGGAUUAGCUAGUUGGUAGGGUAAAAGCCUACCAAGGCGACGAGCCAUAGAUGGUCUGAGAGGAUGAUCAGCCACACUGGGACUGAGACACGGCCCAGACUCCUACGGGAGGCAGCAGUGGGGGAUAUUGGACAGUGGGCGAAAGCCUGAUCCAGCAAUGCCGCGUGAGUGAUGAAGGCCUUAGGGUUGUUAAGCUCUUUUACCCGGGAUGAUAAUGACAGUACCGGGAGAAUAAGCUCCGGCUAACUCCGUG
Molecule: ribosomal RNA, 433 nt
Filed under: uncultured bacterium
Lineage: Bacteria
Description: partial 16S ribosomal RNA
Rfam family: Bacterial small subunit ribosomal RNA
Source: RNAcentral